RNAcentral lists this ribosomal RNA (253 nucleotides) under uncultured bacterium. Its description in RNAcentral is "partial 16S ribosomal RNA". It matches the Rfam family "Bacterial small subunit ribosomal RNA", at positions 524 to 776 of the family's 1533-position model. The record is from RNAcentral.
UACGAAGGGUGCAAACGUUGCUCGGAAUUAUUGGGCGUAAAGCGCACGUAGGCGGCUCUGCAAGUCGGAUGUGAAAUCCCUCGGCUCAACCAAGGAAGUGCAUCCGAAACUGCGGAGCUUGAGUACUUAAGAGGAUCGCGGAAUUCCCGGUGUAGAGGUGAAAUUCGUAGAUAUCGGGAGGAACACCAGUGGCGAAGGCGGCGAUCUGGGAAGAUACUGACGCUGAGGUGCGAAAGCGUGGGGAGCAAACGGG